This 406-nucleotide ribosomal RNA is filed under the name uncultured bacterium. RNAcentral describes it as "partial 16S ribosomal RNA". It matches the Rfam family "Bacterial small subunit ribosomal RNA", at positions 30 to 526 of the family's 1533-position model. The record is from RNAcentral.
AUUGAACGCUGGCGGCAGGCCUAACACAUGCAAGUCGAACGAGUGGCGGACGGGUGAGUAAUGUCUGGGAAACUGCCUGAUGGAGGGGGAUAACUACUGGAAACGGUAGCUAAUCAAGCAUACCAUCAGAUGUGCCCAGAUGGGAUUAGGUUGGUGGUGGUGUAAAGGCUCACAAAGGCGACGCUCCCUAGCUGGUCUGAGAGGAUGAACAGCGACACGUGAACUUAGACACGGUCCAGACGCCUACGGGAGGCAGCAGUGGGGAAUAUUGCACAAUGGGCGCAAGCCUGAUGCAGCCAUGCCGCGUGUAUGAAGAAGGCCUUCGGGUUGUAAAGUACUUUCAGCGGGGAGGCGUUACCCGCAGAAGAAGCACCGGCUAACUCCGUGCCAGCAGCCGCGGUAAUUC